RNAcentral lists this ribosomal RNA (492 nucleotides) under uncultured bacterium. Its description in RNAcentral is "partial 16S ribosomal RNA". It matches the Rfam family "Bacterial small subunit ribosomal RNA", at positions 29 to 507 of the family's 1533-position model. The record is from RNAcentral.
AGUGAACGCUGGCGGUAUGCCUAACACAUGCAAGUCGAACGGCAGCACAGUAAUUUCUUGCUCUUACGGGUUGGCAGUGGCGUACGUGUGAGGAAUAUAUCCGAAUCUUCUUUUUCGUGUGGGAUAACGUAGGUAAACUUACUCUAAUACCGCAUACCAUCUUGGGUGGAAAGCAUGGGAUCUUCUGACCUUGCGCGAUUGAAUUAGCCGCUUUUGGAUUUGCUAGUUGGCGGGGUAAUGGCCCACCAAGUCGACGAUCUGUAGCUUGUCUGAGAGACUGAUCAGCCACACGGGAGCUGAGACACGGUCCAGGGUACUACGGGACGCAGCAGUGGCGAAUAUUAGACAAUGGGCGCGAGCAUGGUCCAGCCAUACCGAGUCGGUGACGAAGGCCUUGGGGUUGUAAAGACCUUUUUUUGGGAAAGAAAAGCAGCAGGUUAAUACCAAGCUGUUCUGACGGUAACCAAUGAAUAAGCACCGGCUAACUUCGUG